Molecule: ribosomal RNA, 660 nt
Filed under: uncultured bacterium
Lineage: Bacteria
Description: bacterial SSU rRNA
Rfam family: Bacterial small subunit ribosomal RNA
Source: RNAcentral
AGUGGCGGACGGGUGAGUAACGCGUGAGAAUCUGCCUUGGGGUCGGGGACAACCACUGGAAACGGUGGCUAAUACCGGAUACGCCUUCGGGUAAAAGAUUUAUUGCCCUAAGAGGAGCUCGCGUCUGAUUAGCUAGUUGGUGAGGUAAGAGCUCACCAAGGCAGCGAUCAGUAGCUGGUCUGAGAGGACGAUCAGCCACACUGGGACUGAGACACGGCCCAGACUCCUACGGGAGGCAGCAGUGGGGAAUUUUCCGCAAUGGGCGAAAGCCUGACGGAGCAAGACCGCGUGAGGGAGGAAGGCUCUUGGGUUGUAAACCUCUUUUCUCAGGGAAGAAGCUCUGACGGUACCUGAGGAAUCAGCCUCGGCUAACUCCGUGCCAGCAGCCUCGGUAAUACGGAGGAGGCAAGCGUUAUCCGGAAUUAUUGGGCGUAAAGCGUCCGCAGGUGGCGAUUCAAGUCUGCUGUCAAAGCACGGGGCUUAACUCCGUAAAGGCAGUGGAAACUGAAUAGCUAGAGUGCCGUAGGGGUAGAGGGAAUUCCCGGUGUAGCGGUGAAAUGCGUAGAGAUCGGGAAGAACAUCGGUGGCGAAAGCGCUCUACUGGACGGCAACUGACACUCAGGGACGAAAGCUAGGGGAGCGAAUGGGAUUAGAUACCCC